This is a long non-coding RNA of Olea europaea var. sylvestris, 777 nucleotides long. RefSeq lists it as uncharacterized. The transcript is spliced from 2 exons. NCBI's taxonomy places the organism in Eukaryota, Viridiplantae, Streptophyta, Magnoliopsida, Lamiales, Oleaceae. The record is from RefSeq and is a predicted model, not a curated record.
GGGCUCACUCAAUUUAUUUUUAUUUAUCUAGUUGGGCUUGUAUGGUGGGCUAGCCCAAGCCCUUUUUGGUUAUUAUUUUGCUCUAGGGUUGUUGGAAGACAAUGAAGAAGGGUCGAGUGUUGAAUUGAAAUUGGCUGCUGUCGUUCGUCUUCCCCCUUCCUCUACCAUUCUUCUUCCUGUUUCUCUGCUGUUGUGUUCUUCUCGGCGUCUCUCUUUCUCUGGUAUUCUUCUCUUCUCCUCCUGCUUCUCUAUUUCUCCUGCUUUCUUCUAUUUUUCUCAUUUCUCCUUCUUCUCUUCUUCCUUCUAUAAAUCUGUCUUCCAAGUCUCUGUCUUUUCAUCCUCUGCAGAUAUAAAUUCGGGUUAUCGGGCAACAAUGCAGGCUUGCUCAUGCUAAUGGACAGGGGACCUCGUGUGGAGCAGUGGAGAUGUCUUACAAGUACACAAGUGUAAAACCAAUACUCUCUGCUCCUUAUCCAUCUGUGAAGAAUAUGGGCAUCUAUUUAAACGGAGAAAAUGUUUGGUACACAUAACUAGAUAGGAUUCGACCGAACAAUGGACAAGAUCAUUAGCUCUUUUUCCUUUUCAAUACUGUGAAGUACUAUUCCUUUUUGCAUGUGACACAUUUAUGUAUGAUUUCUCAAUCAAAAGCAGAUAGAACUUGGGACAUUAAUUGCACUUCCGAGUACUGCUUUGUAUCUGUCUACUUUUGUCAAAAGAUUUCAUAUUUCCAGUGAAAUUUAUUUAAGGACAAUUGUGAUUGGUGAGAUAUUAAGAUUA